This 1372-nucleotide ribosomal RNA is filed under the name uncultured bacterium. RNAcentral describes it as "bacterial SSU rRNA". It matches the Rfam family "Bacterial small subunit ribosomal RNA", at positions 28 to 1381 of the family's 1533-position model. The record is from RNAcentral.
GAUGAACGCUGGCGGCGUGCCUAAUACAUGCAAGUCGAGCGAACGGACGAGAAGCUUGCUUCUCUGAUGUUAGCGGCGGACGGGUGAGUAACACGUGGAUAACCUACCUAUAAGACUGGGAUAACUUCGGGAAACCGGAGCUAAUACCGGAUAAUAUUUUGAACCGCAUGGUUCAAAAGUGAAAGACGGUCUUGCUGUCACUUAUAGAUGGAUCCGCGCUGCAUUAGCUAGUUGGUAAGGUAACGGCUUACCAAGGCAACGAUGCAUAGCCGACCUGAGAGGGUGAUCGGCCACACUGGAACUGAGACACGGUCCAGACUCCUACGGGAGGCAGCAGUAGGGAGUCUUCCGCAAUGGGCGAAAGCCUGACGGAGCAACGCCGCGUGAGUGAUGAAGGUCUUCGGAUCGUAAAACUCUGUUAUUAGGGAAGAACAUAUGUGUAAGUAACUGUGCACAUCUUGACGGUACCUAAUCAGAAAGCCACGGCUAACUACGUGCCAGCAGCCGCGGUAAUACGUAGGUGGCAAGCGUUAUCCGGAAUUAUUGGGCGUAAAGCGCGCGUAGGCGGUUUUUUAAGUCUGAUGUGAAAGCCCACGGCUCAACCGUGGAGGGUCAUUGGAAACUGGAAAACUUGAGUGCAGAAGAGGAAAGUGGAAUUCCAUGUGUAGCGGUGAAAUGCGCAGAGAUAUGGAGGAACACCAGUGGCGAAGGCGACUUUCUGGUCUGUAACUGACGCUGAUGUGCGAAAGCGUGGGGAUCAAACAGGAUUAGAUACCCUGGUAGUCCACGCCGUAAACGAUGAGUGCUAAGUGUUAGGGGGUUUCCGCCCCUUAGUGCUGCAGCUAACGCAUUAAGCACUCCGCCUGGGGAGUACGACCGCAAGGUUGAAACUCAAAGGAAUUGACGGGGACCCGCACAAGCGGUGGAGCAUGUGGUUUAAUUCGAAGCAACGCGAAGAACCUUACCAAAUCUUGACAUCCUUUGACAACUCUAGAGAUAGAGCCUUCCCCUUCGGGGGGCAAAGUGACAGGUGGUGCAUGGUUGUCGUCAGCUCGUGUCGUGAGAUGUUGGGUUAAGUCCCGCAACGAGCGCAACCCUUAAGCUUAGUUGCCAUCAUUAAGUUGGGCACUCUAAGUUGACUGCCGGUGACAAACCGGAGGAAGGUGGGGAUGACGUCAAAUCAUCAUGCCCCUUAUGAUUUGGGCUACACACGUGCUACAAUGGACAAUACAAAGGGCAGCGAAACCGCGAGGUCAAGCAAAUCCCAUAAAGUUGUUCUCAGUUCGGAUUGUAGUCUGCAACUCGACUACAUGAAGCUGGAAUCGCUAGUAAUCGUAGAUCAGCAUGCUACGGUGAAUACGUUCCCGGGUCU